CACAUGCAAGUCGAACGGUAGCACAGAGGAGCUUGCUCCUCGGGUGACGAGUGGCGGACGGGUGAGUAAUGUCUGGGGAUCUGCCCGAUGGAGGGGGAUAACCACUGGAAACGGUGGCUAAUACCGCAUAACGUCGCAAGACCAAAGUGGGGGACCUUCGGGCCUCACACCAUCGGAUGAACCCAGAUGGGAUUAGCUAGUAGGUGGGGUAACGGCUCACCUAGGCGACGAUCCCUAGCUGGUCUGAGAGGAUGACCAGCCACACUGGAACUGAGACACGGUCCAGACUCCUACGGGAGGCAGCAGUGGGGAAUAUUGCACAAUGGGCGCAAGCCUGAUGCAGCCAUGCCGCGUGUAUGAAGAAGGCCUUCGGGUUGUAAAGUACUUUCAGCGGGGAGGAAGGGGACGAGGUUAAUAACCUCGUUCAUUGACGUUACCCGCAGAAGAAGCACCGGCUAACUCCGUGCCAGCAGCCGCGGUAAUACGGAGGGUGCAAGCGUUAAUCGGAAUUACUGGGCGUAAAGCGCACGCAGGCGGUCUGUUAAGUCAGAUGUGAAAUCCCCGGGCUUAACCUGGGAACUGCAUUGAAAC
RNAcentral lists this ribosomal RNA (591 nucleotides) under Pantoea cypripedii. RNAcentral's name for it is "bacterial SSU rRNA". It matches the Rfam family "Bacterial small subunit ribosomal RNA", at positions 52 to 633 of the family's 1533-position model. Lineage: Bacteria; Pseudomonadati; Pseudomonadota; Gammaproteobacteria; Enterobacterales; Erwiniaceae. The record is from RNAcentral.